GAGAGGAAGAACCAAUAUGACGAAGUCAUAUUUCAAGAUGGUUCUGACGACCUGCCGCCUGGCGUAAGCGAGGGGGCGUUACCUAUU
Molecule: small RNA, 87 nt
Organism: Clostridium sp. CAG:167
Lineage: Bacteria; Bacillati; Bacillota; Clostridia; Eubacteriales; Clostridiaceae
Rfam family: GA-cis RNA
Source: Rfam